This 518-nucleotide ribosomal RNA is filed under the name uncultured bacterium. Its description in RNAcentral is "bacterial SSU rRNA". The stretch from base 88 to 518 matches the Rfam family "Bacterial small subunit ribosomal RNA", at positions 1 to 416 of the family's 1533-position model. The record is from RNAcentral.
GGGAGAGCGUCUCGGAUCAUUGACAACUAAAUAGGAGCAGCAACGUCCAAUUAAAGGGCCCUGAUCACGAAACACAGGAACAAAAUGAAUCUGGAGAGUUUGAUCCUGGCUCAGAACGAACGCUGGCGGCGUGCCUAACACAUGCAAGUCCAACGUGAAAGGGGAGCAAUCCCCCGGUAGGGUGGCAAACGGGUGAGUAAUACAUGGGUGAUCUACCUUAGGGAUGGGGAUAUCCUUCCGAAAGGAGGGGCAAUACCGAAUAUUGUCCGGAGCCGUGAAGGGUUCCGGGGAAAGGGAGGCCUCUGAUACAAGCUUUCGCCUUAAGAUGAGCCCAUGGCCCAUCAGCUAGUUGGUAGGGUAAAGGCCUACCAAGGCUACGACGGGUCGCUGGUCUGAGAGGACGACCAGCCACACUGGCACUGAGAUACGGGCCAGACUCCUACGGGAGGCAGCAGUGAGGAAUAUUGCGCAAUGGGGGAAACCCUGGACGCAGCAACGCCGCGUGUGGGAAGAAGGCC